UGUUUCGGCUAGGGGGCCAUCCCGGCUUACCAACCCGAUGCAAACUGCGAAUACCGGAGAAUGUUAUCACGGGAGACACACGGCGGGUGCUAACGUCCGUCGUGAAGAGGGAAACAACCCAGACCGCCAGCUAAGGUCCCAAAGUCAUGGUUAAGUGGGAAACGAUGUGGGAAGGCCCAGACAGCCAGGAUGUUGGCUUAGAAGCAGCCAUCAUUUAAAGAAAGCGUAAUAGCUCACUGGUCGAGUCGGCCUGCGCGGAAGAUGUAACGGGGCUAAACCAUGCACCGAAGCUGCGGCAGCGACGCUGAUGCGUUGUUGGGUAGGGGAGCGUUCUGUAAGCCUGUGAAGGUGGCCUGUGAGGGUUGCUGGAGGUAUCAGAAGUGCGAAUGCUGACAUAAGUAACGAUAAAGCGGGUGAAAAGCCCGCUCGCCGGAAGACCAAGGGUUCCUGUCCAACGUUAAUCGGGGCAGGGUGAGUCGACCCCUAAGGCGAGGCCGAAAGGCGUAGUCGAUGGGAAACGGGUUAAUAUUCCCGUACUUGGUGUUACUGCGAAGGGGGGACGGAGAAGGCUAUGUUGGCCGGGCGACGGUUGUCCCGGUUUAAGCGUGUAGGUGUGUGUUCCAGGUAAAUCCGGUU
This 636-nucleotide ribosomal RNA is filed under the name Salmonella enterica. RNAcentral's name for it is "partial 23S ribosomal RNA". It matches the Rfam family "Bacterial large subunit ribosomal RNA", at positions 911 to 1547 of the family's 2925-position model. Lineage: Bacteria; Pseudomonadati; Pseudomonadota; Gammaproteobacteria; Enterobacterales; Enterobacteriaceae. RNAcentral also lists the same sequence under 4 other names. The record is from RNAcentral.